AGGCCUCGGUGCACUCUUUAGCGCACAUCACUGAGCUUGCAACUCAACAUGAACUUCACUACAAGGCC
Molecule: transfer RNA, 68 nt
Filed under: Aptenodytes patagonicus (king penguin)
Lineage: Eukaryota; Metazoa; Chordata; Aves; Sphenisciformes; Spheniscidae
Description: tRNA-Cys
Source: RNAcentral